GGGAGUGCAAGGUUGACGGAUAAGAUCAGGAAAGCUGUCGAGAAGUAUGAUGGUGAACCACCUAUGGAAAUACAGAAGUAUGUACUCUAUCAUUGCAAGAAGUGGAAUUUGGUCUGGGUAGGAAGAAACAAAGUUGCCCCUUUGGAACCUGAUGAAGUUGAAAUGCUAUUGGGGUUCCCAAAGAAUCACACAAGGGGAGGAGGUAUAAGUAGGACGGACAGAUACAAGUCACUCGGUAACUCUUUCCAGGUUGACACAGUGGCGUACCACUUAUCAGUGUUGAGAGACUUGUUUCCAAAUGGAAUCAAUGUCUUAUCACUCUUCUCUGGCAUUGGUGGUGCUGAAGUUGCUCUCUACCGUCUCGGUGUUCCCCUCAACAAUGUUGUUUCAGUUGAAAAGUCUGAAGUGAACAGGAAUAUUGUGAGAAGCUGGUGGGAGCAAACAAAUCAGAGGGGGAAUCUCAUACAUUUUGACGAUGUGCAGCUGCUGAGCAGAGAUCGGUUGAAGAAGUUAAUAGAAUCAGUUGGUGGAUUUGAUUUAGUGAUUGGUGGAAGCCCAUGCAACAACCUUGCAGGCAGUAACAGGGUGAGCAGGGAUGGGCUUGAAGGCAAAGAGUCUUCUCUGUUUUUUGAUUAUGUUCGGAUAUUGGAUGAUGUCAAGUCCAUAAUGUCUAGACAUAGAUGAGAUACUCUCUCUGAUUUAGAUAUCCUAUUCCUUUUUCUCAACCUUGCCAAGGCUUAAGGUUAUUCUUAAUUAGUAGGGUGAAAUCAAACUAGAUACUAAUUGCAAUUAUGAAACUGAUGAAAUUUUGGUGGUUGAUGAAGUAAUGUUAUUGUUUCUGGUUCAGUUUUUCCAGAACCAGGUAUCUAAAGAAUAUAUAAGAGUAUAUCAC
RNAcentral lists this unclassified non-coding RNA (892 nucleotides) under Hevea brasiliensis (rubber tree). Lineage: Eukaryota; Viridiplantae; Streptophyta; Magnoliopsida; Malpighiales; Euphorbiaceae. The record is from RNAcentral.